GAUGAACGCUAGCGGCAGGCCUAACACAUGCCAGUCGAGGGAGAAGCCCUUUCGGGGGCAGAAACCGGCGCACGGGUGCGUAACGCGUAUGCAACCUACCUUUCACAGGGGGAUAGCCCGAAGAAAUUUGGAUUAAUACCCCAUAAUAUUAUUGGAUGGCAUCAUUUGAUAAUUAAAACUGCGGUGGUGAAGGAUGGGCAUGCGUCCUAUUAGCUAGUUGGAGUGGUAACGGCACCCCAAGGCUACGAUAGGUAGGGGUCCUGAGAGGGAGAUCCCCCACACUGGGACUGAGACAGGGACCAGACUCCUACGGGAGGCAGCAGUGAGGAAGAUUGGUCAAUGGUCGGAAGACUGAACCAGCCAUGCCGCGUGCAGGAAGAAUGCCUUAUGGGUUGUAAACUGCUUUUAUAUGGGAAGAAUAAGGCGUACGUGUACGUUGAUGACGGUACCAUAUGAAUAAGCAUCGGCUAACUCCGUG
This 478-nucleotide ribosomal RNA is filed under the name uncultured bacterium. RNAcentral's name for it is "partial 16S ribosomal RNA". It matches the Rfam family "Bacterial small subunit ribosomal RNA", at positions 28 to 507 of the family's 1533-position model. The record is from RNAcentral.